AGAGUUUGAUCAUGGCUCAGAGCGAACGCUGGCGGCAGGCUUAACACAUGCAAGUCGAGCGGGCGUAGCAAUACGUCAGCGGCAGACGGGUGAGUAACGCGUGGGAACAUACCUUUUGGUUCGGAACAACCCAGGGAAACUUGGGCUAAUACCGGAUAAGCCCUUACGGGGAAAGAUUUAUCGCCGAAAGAUUGGCCCGCGUCUGAUUAGCUAGUUGGUGAGGUAAUGGCUCACCAAGGCGACGAUCAGUAGCUGGUCUGAGAGGAUGAUCAGCCACAUUGGGACUGAGACACGGCCCAAACUCCUACGGGAGGCAGCAGUGGGGAAUAUUGGACAAUGGGCGCAAGCCUGAUCCAGCCAUGCCGCGUGAGUGAUGAAGGCCCUAGGGUUGUAAAGCUCUUUUGUGCGGGAAGAUAAUGACGGUACCGCAAGAAUAAGCCCCGGCUAACUUCGUGCCAGCAGCCGCGGUAAUACGAAGGGGGCUAGCGUUGCUCGGAAUCACUGGGCGUAAAGGGUGCGUAGGCGGGUCUUUAAGUCAGGGGUGAAAUCCUGGAGCUCAACUCCAGAACUGCCUUUGAUACUGAAGAUCUUGAGUUCGGGAGAGGUGAGUGGAACUGCGAGUGUAGAGGUGAAAUUCGUAGAUAUUCGCAAGAACACCAGUGGCGAAGGCGGCUCACUGGCCCGAUACUGGCGCUGAUGCACGAAAGCGUGGGGAGCAAACAGGAUUAGAUACCCUAGUAGUCC
Molecule: ribosomal RNA, 744 nt
Filed under: uncultured bacterium
Lineage: Bacteria
Description: bacterial SSU rRNA
Rfam family: Bacterial small subunit ribosomal RNA
Source: RNAcentral